This 375-nucleotide ribosomal RNA is filed under the name uncultured bacterium. RNAcentral's name for it is "bacterial SSU rRNA". It matches the Rfam family "Bacterial small subunit ribosomal RNA", at positions 524 to 898 of the family's 1533-position model. The record is from RNAcentral.
UACGGAGGGUGCAAGCGUUAAUCGGAAUUACUGGGCGUAAAGCGCACGCAGGCGGUCUGUCAAGUCGGAUGUGAAAUCCCCGGGCUCAACCUGGGAACUGCAUCCGAAACUGGCAGGCUAGAGUCUUGUAGAGGGGGGUAGAAUUCCAGGUGUAGCGGUGAAAUGCGUAGAGAUCUGGAGGAAUACCGGUGGCGAAGGCGGCCCCCUGGACAAAGACUGACGCUCAGGUGCGAAAGCGUGGGGAGCAAACAGGAUUAGAUACCCUGGUAGUCCACGCCGUAAACGAUGUCGACUAGGAGGGGGGGCCCUUGAGGCGUGGCUGCCGGAGCUAACGCGUUAAGUCGACCGCCUGGGGAGUACGGCCGCAAGGUUAAA